CAGCAGCAGCCGCGGGAAUACGAAGGUCCCGAGCGUUGUUCGGAAUCACUGGGCGUAAAGGGAGCGUAGGCGGCGUGGUAAGUCAGAUGUGAAAUCCCGGGGCUCAACCCCGGAACUGCAUCCGAUACUGCCAUGCUAGAGGAUUGGAGAGGUAGCUGGAAUUCUUGGUGUAGCAGUGAAAUGCGUGGAGAUCAAGAGGAACACUCGUGGCGAAAGCGAGCUACUGGACAAUAACUGACGCUGAGGCUCGAAGGCCAGGGUAGCGAAAGGGAUUAGAUACCCGUGUAGUCCCUGUCUCUUAUAC
RNAcentral lists this ribosomal RNA (304 nucleotides) under uncultured bacterium. Its description in RNAcentral is "partial 16S ribosomal RNA". It matches the Rfam family "Bacterial small subunit ribosomal RNA", at positions 506 to 807 of the family's 1533-position model. The record is from RNAcentral.